CACUGACACUAAAUCAAAGGUGUGCUUGUGUUUAAUACAGGAAUGUGGUCAGAAUCAGAUACAUGAUGAAUUAAUCUGUUGUGUUCCAACGAAUUGUGAUUCAUGCUCUCAGGUAUUAAGGCACAGUAUGACUUAUGAAUCAUGAUGUGAAAUUGAGCAACGCGAGUGAUGUCGUGUCAGAUGCAGUUUCCUGACCACAUCAUACUCGACGAGCGCGCUUCGUUGAGCGCGGUUGUGUGGCGUCGCGUCGCUGCAGAGUAUUGUUAGACAUGAUCCACUAAACGAUGAUGGGGAUUUUAUUUCUGGACUAUUUACUAUCCAAACGAGGAAUUCUGAAGGUCGCUCAGCUCGAGUUUGUGCUCGAUACAUUGGGAUUCAUCUUCACCUCCACCGGUUCCAUUGUAGCUGCUGUGAAGUCUUAUGAAACCCCCAUUCUGGUUGCCGCCUCAGUGUGUGGUCUUCUGGUCUGGUAUCUCUCACUUGUUAGUGUGAUACUUUCGUUUGUUGCCGCUCGCCGCACACAGCCUGCGGGUCCACCAGUAUAAAAACACUGUCUUGAUGUUUAUAGUGCUUCUUCUGAAAUAUCUAACUGCCCUCAACACAUAACAGCUUGGAUCGGGAAAUGAUAAAGGAUAUGGUUGUUUUAGUAAACUUACAUGGAAGAUAAAAGAUUUUGUGACAAUAUAAUUUUUUGCACACAUGGUUUAUUGCAAAGAGAUGGUUUUAAUAUUAUAAUUAUAAUAUUUUAUAUUAUAAAAAUGUAUGAUAAUAACCUGCCAAUAAUUUACUGGUGUACAUUUUAAGAAAUGGC
RNAcentral lists this long non-coding RNA (811 nucleotides) under Sinocyclocheilus anshuiensis. RNAcentral's name for it is "lncRNA (ENSSANG00000016260.1)". The record is from RNAcentral. Lineage: Eukaryota; Metazoa; Chordata; Actinopteri; Cypriniformes; Cyprinidae.